AAUUUCUUCCUGGUCUGGGCUCACAAAAUGGCUUUCGACAAAUUGGCCCAAUUUCGAAACCCUAAAUAGGAUAUGAAAUGUGGGUUCGUCGGGCCCUGGAGGAUGGAGGGCAUUUCUUCUCCCAAUUUGAUUUUCUUCCAGUGGUUAUGGUUGCUGCCUGCUGCAUCAAAUCGACAUUAAUUUCUGAUUCUCCGAUUUCAAACAACUGUCAAUUUAGAGAUGGUUACAGCAGAACCCAAUUUGGACGAAUUCUUUGAUGGGAAGAAGCGCAUUAGGAACCCUCUGGACCCUGGUUUCUAUUGAAACUUAGAGAUCAUUUUUUUGGGAGUUAAGGGGCACCUGAAUUUCCUUCCUAAGUACUGCAAUUGAAUUGAUGGAACUGACUAGCAUGCAUUAUGUAAUAUCCCCUUGAUAGACACAUCUAGCAUUUGUAGAGCUAUACAUUGGCCGGACUGUAUGAAGUUGUGAAGGGUUAAGGCCUCCUCGUAGGCUUUUCUUUGAUGCGUGUUGUAUUUUGGCUGGAUUAUAUGAAGUUUUGAAGGGUCGAUGGCUCCUCAUACUCUUUUCUUUGAUGUGUGUUGUACUUGUAUCUUGGCUGAAUUAACAUGUAGUUUUGAAGAGUUAAUGGCUCCUCAUGCUCUUUUAUUUUCUGUGUGCCGUAUCUUGGCUGGCCUGUUUUGAAGUUUGGAAGGCUUAAUGGCUCCCUCACACUCUGUUCUUUGACUUGUUUUUUAUCUUGGCUGGAUUAUUGUGAAGUUUUGGCUUCUCAUUCUCUUUUAUUUGCUGUGUGCUGUAUCUUGGCUAGGCUUUUGUGAAGUUUUGAAUGGUUAAUGGCUCCUCGUACCCUUUUUCUUCUUUACAAUUUUACUUCCUCAGGUUCACUUAUCACAGCUGGAGUUCUAACAGCAGGCUUAAUUAUUACAAAAAAAAAAAAGAAAAUAGAAACUUUCAUGUCUCCCAAGUUCAGGCUUUGUGGCGGGUGCAAGUGGCCUCUGAAUGUAGGGGACUAAAGUUCUGAUUCCCAGUUAUCGAAAAAAAAGCAGUAGGCUUAAUUAGUUUCCGGCUAGGCAACUCUCACUUGGGAUAAGCGGGUGGCUGUCGAAGACGCUACGGUGGCUCUUAUGGUUGGCACUGCCUACUACUAUGGGAUAUCAAAAUUAGACUUUCGAAACUAAAUCCAAUGGCCUCUCAGACGGAUCAAACUGCAUCACUGAACCAUAUUGUUCAUACAAGAGAGCUGAGCAGUGGCCUGCCUAAGCCUCUCAACUUCAUACAUGGGAAAGAAAACCAAAGGAGUUGUUUGUUGCAUCUUCAUUUGUGCCAACAAAAACCACAUUUUGGCAUUUUUUUCACAUGAAUGAGCAAUUGAUUGCAACAAAACAUGAAAGCCUCCCCUCCUCUCACAGUUAUUAGCUAAAGUCAACCAACUGUUGAAUUGCCUGUAAAUUUAACAAUGUAGACACGUGUCGGUCGUUCCGAUUCUAUUAUCAAGUCAUACAAUCAUAGAAUAACUUUUCCCAAGGGAAAAGAGAAGUGAUUUCCUUUGACA
Non-coding RNA from Momordica charantia (bitter melon), 1549 nucleotides. The record is from RefSeq and is a predicted model, not a curated record. NCBI's taxonomy places the organism in Eukaryota, Viridiplantae, Streptophyta, Magnoliopsida, Cucurbitales, Cucurbitaceae.